AUGGGAGUGCAGAGCCCAAAUCCCCUAGGAGGUUAUACAACAGACACUUUCACUGAUAGUCUAGAAGAUAUUCCACGUCUAAGCAGGACUCCAGAGACUGAUAUGCCACAAAAAGGUAAGAAAAGCUCUUGGUGAAUGCGUGAUGCAGGACUCCAAUACUGCAGUGAAGACAGAAGGCCAGUGAACAUCAGCCUGCACAGAACUGUACACAGUACUGAGGCCAGAUUUUCUUCCAGCUUGUGACUGCAAAGCUCAGAGGUUUCUCAGUGGUUCAGUUUCACAUCAGACAAAUCCAGCAGGUUUUGGCUGGCGUGACUCUGAGCAAACACACACACACACACACAAACACACACACACACACACACACACAAAACCUCAGAAGACUAGAUAGAAAAUGUUUAUAUCAAGCCCCAGCAAACUAAAACAUAGGAAUCUUGAACAACUGUCUUUGUAAAAUUGUUUCUGAGAACUCAACAUCAGUUAAAAACACGAUAAAU
This 497-nucleotide long non-coding RNA is filed under the name Anas platyrhynchos platyrhynchos (common mallard). RNAcentral's name for it is "lncRNA (ENSAPLG00000028137.1)". Lineage: Eukaryota; Metazoa; Chordata; Aves; Anseriformes; Anatidae. The record is from RNAcentral.